RNAcentral lists this ribosomal RNA (339 nucleotides) under Lamproderma columbinum. Its description in RNAcentral is "bacterial SSU rRNA". It matches the Rfam family "Eukaryotic small subunit ribosomal RNA", at positions 80 to 350 of the family's 1831-position model. The record is from RNAcentral. Lineage: Eukaryota; Evosea; Eumycetozoa; Stemonitida; Stemonitidae.
UCUGAAUCUGCGAACGGCUCCGCAAACCAGUUGUAAACUAUAGCAAGCAAGCUUAGGGGGAUGGCCUUAACGGGCUGACUCCUUAAGCUACAUGGGUAACCCUGGUAAUUCUGAGGCUAAUACAUGAUCGUAAACCUUGGGGCCUGGCUGCGGUUGGGAUCCUAGGGGGCGUGUGAUUGAGGCCUGAGUUAAUAUGCCAGGAAGGGGUGCACGUCCAGACCGCUAUCAAAAGGGAUCGGUUCCUUCCCCCUCUCGGGGGGGCAGGGACUGGCCCCGGCGGCUCUUGCUGUGUGCUUCUGACCUAUCAACUAGAUGGCAGCAUAAAGGACAUGCUUUGGU